GGUUGAUCCUGCCAGUAGUCAUAUGCUUGUCCUAAAGAUUAAGCCAUGCAUGUCCAAGUAUAAACACGUUGUACUGUGAAACUGCGAAUGGCUCAUUAUAUCAGUUAUAAUUUAUUUGAUAGUCUCUUACUACUUGGAUAACCGUGGUAAUUCUAGAGCUAAUACAUGCGGAAAGCCCGACUUUGCGGAAGGGCUGUAUUUAUUAGAUUAAAAACCAACACGCUUGGUGAUUCAUGAUAACUGUGCGGAUCGCAUGGCCUUGCGCCGGCGACGUUUCAUUCAAAUUUCUGCC
Molecule: ribosomal RNA, 292 nt
Filed under: uncultured eukaryote
Lineage: Eukaryota
Description: partial 18S ribosomal RNA
Rfam family: Eukaryotic small subunit ribosomal RNA
Source: RNAcentral